RNAcentral lists this ribosomal RNA (468 nucleotides) under uncultured bacterium. RNAcentral's name for it is "partial 16S ribosomal RNA". It matches the Rfam family "Bacterial small subunit ribosomal RNA", at positions 28 to 507 of the family's 1533-position model. The record is from RNAcentral.
GAUGAACGCUGGCGGCGUGCCUAAUACAUGCAAGUCGAACGAAAAGACGAGGAGCUUGUGGCGCGCUCGAGUGCCGAAGGCGGGAGUAACACGUGAGUAUCCUGUACCUGUCUGUGUGAGAUCUCUACGAGACUGGGGCGCAUACCGCGUAGGAUCUCCUGCUCCGCGUGGGGGGUUGGAAAGUUUCGGUGGUUGGGGAACGAAUGGCGGCUUAUCAGCUGGAUGGGGUGGUAGGGGCUUACCAAGGCUUUGACGGGUACCAGGCAUGAGAGGGUUACCGGCCACAUUGGGACUGAGAUACGGCCCAGACUCCUACGGGAGGCAGCAGUGGGGAAUAUUGCACAAUGGGCGGAAGCCUGAUGCAGCAACGCCGCGUGCGGGAUGACGGCCUUCGGGUUGUAAACCGCUUUCGCAUGUGACGAAGCGUGAGUGACGGUAAUGGGUAAAGAAGCACCGGCUAACUACGUG